Molecule: long non-coding RNA, 421 nt
Organism: Phyllopteryx taeniolatus (common seadragon)
Lineage: Eukaryota; Metazoa; Chordata; Actinopteri; Syngnathiformes; Syngnathidae
Exons: 3
Source: RefSeq, a predicted model, not a curated record
GUGGAUUGUCAUCCACAUUUGAGGUACCCUUGUAUAAUAAAACUGAGGCCGUUGGAAGACGUGCCAAAGCACAACAGUUCUGCUAAGGACAGGAUUCAGUAGAGAGCCCCUGUGGAGGCUGCAUGCAUACAGAAGGUGCACUUAAUGCUGCACUGAAACAUACCUGAAUCUGCUGGAUGUAUUUGGGCAUCAUCUCAGCCACAUACUCCCCAAAUGCUGUCAGUUGGUUGUGGGCGACUGCAUCCUUGGGCCGCAUGGUGGCUGUGGAGAAGGCAUGAAGAGUUCCACCUGCUCACAUCCCUGCUUCCUGCUCGCUCCUUGUCCCGACGGUCCACCCUCUCACCUUGGAUAUCCUUACCCUGAGCCAACCUUCAAUAAACUAUUCUAAAUCUACUCCCGCCGCUUCAGUCUGCUUUUGGGU